GAUGAACGCUAGCUACAGGCUUAACACAUGCAAGUCGCGGGGCAGCAUGGGGGUUGCUUGCAAUCCCCGAUGGCGACCGGCGCACGGGUGAGUAACGCGUAUCCAACCUGCCCUUCACCACGGGAUAACCCGGCGAAAGUCGGACUAAUACCGUAUGUUGUCCAUUGACGGCAUCCGAUUUGGACGAAAGGUUUGGCGGUGAAGGAUGGGGAUGCAUCCGAUUAGCUGGACGGCGGGGUGACGGCCCACCGUGGCGACGAUCGGUAGGGGUUCUGAGAGGAAGGUCCCCCACACUGGAACUGAGACACGGUCCAGACUCCUACGGGAGGCAGCAGUGAGGAAUAUUGGUCAAUGGGCGUAAGCCUGAACCAGCCAAGUAGCGUGCAGGAUGACGGCCCUAUGGGUUGUAAACUGCUUUUAUGCGGGGAUAAAGUGGCCCACGUGUGGGUUUUUGCAGGUACCGCAUGAAUAAGGACCGGCUAAUUCCGUG
RNAcentral lists this ribosomal RNA (490 nucleotides) under uncultured bacterium. RNAcentral describes it as "partial 16S ribosomal RNA". It matches the Rfam family "Bacterial small subunit ribosomal RNA", at positions 28 to 507 of the family's 1533-position model. The record is from RNAcentral.